GAGGGUAUAGCUCAGUGGUAGAGCGCAUGCUUAGCAUGCACAAGGUCCUGGGUUCAAUCCCCACUACCUCCU
RNAcentral lists this transfer RNA (72 nucleotides) under Camelus ferus (Wild Bactrian camel). It matches the Rfam family "tRNA". From Rfam's summary of the family: Transfer RNA (tRNA) molecules are approximately 80 nucleotides in length. Their secondary structure includes four short double-helical elements and three loops (D, anti-codon, and T loops). Further hydrogen bonds mediate the characteristic L-shaped molecular structure. tRNAs have two regions of fundamental functional importance: the anti-codon, which is responsible for specific mRNA codon recognition, and the 3' end, to which the tRNAs corresponding amino acid is attached (by aminoacyl-tRNA synthetases). tRNAs cope with the degeneracy of the genetic code in two manners: having more than one tRNA (with a specific anti-codon) for a particular amino acid; and 'wobble' base-pairing, i.e. permitting non-standard base-pairing at the 3rd anti-codon position. The record is from Rfam by way of RNAcentral. Lineage: Eukaryota; Metazoa; Chordata; Mammalia; Artiodactyla; Camelidae.